CUCUUAAAGCCAAUGACUUUUGCCUACUUAAGCUUAUGGACAUGGAUAUGUCAUUUGAAGCAAUCCCGAUGAAGAAAAAACCAAUCCUAAGUGCACUUAAGGUUCUUUUUCCUCUAUUAUAUAUUCUCACAAACAUAAUUCCUCCAUAACCUGCGCUUCUAAAUAAGGCUUGCUCAAUAUCUUAAGAACUUGUUACAUAACAAAUAAUAAAAUAUAAGUGAUUACCAAAUAAAAUCAUGGGAUAAUCUCAAGGCCUAAUGUGAACUUGGUUCUAUAAGGGAAACUAAGAUUGGGAUAACCAAAUAAAAUACAUAAAAGACUUAAAAUAAAAAGGUAAACAAACAGAGAUAAGAAACAAUGCCAAUGCCUAGUUGCACUUAACCUUUAAUAAUGAACAAUAAAUUGAAGCACCAUACAUUUAGAAGUAUUCAGUAAUAAAAACUGAA
RNAcentral lists this long non-coding RNA (446 nucleotides) under Trifolium pratense (red clover). RNAcentral's name for it is "long non-coding RNA (TPRA_LNC009599)". The record is from RNAcentral. Lineage: Eukaryota; Viridiplantae; Streptophyta; Magnoliopsida; Fabales; Fabaceae.